RNAcentral lists this long non-coding RNA (478 nucleotides) under Equus caballus (horse). Its description in RNAcentral is "lncRNA (ENSECAG00000059696.1)". Lineage: Eukaryota; Metazoa; Chordata; Mammalia; Perissodactyla; Equidae. The record is from RNAcentral.
GGACAGGAGAACUACAUGAACAAGCACACGACAAGGUAGUGCGAGAACUGCCGCAGAGACGCAUGGAGCAGGGAAAGCCGCCCCAGAAGAGAGGCCUCCGCUCUCCCCGAGAACCAAUGCUGACCUCUCUGAGCUCCAGUUUGCUCGUCAGAAAAGCAGAGAAAGAACUCCACCCAGCACCUCACAGGCAGCUGUGGGAUUCAGAUGAAAUCGUGAGAUGAACCUGCUCCGUGGAUGGGACCCCCUGCCCAGGCGAGAGUGUAUCACGGCAGCAAGCCCUCCCCUGGGCGGAUCCAACGAUUGGCAGAAUAAUCCCUGCAACAAGGAGGCGCACUCAACGAGCUUCUGUGUGAGCCAGAGGAGUGAGUCAAUGGCAAGGUGAAGAAGGGACGGGCAUUCUAGGCCAAAAGAACUUCUGCAAGAGAGAAUUAAAUAGAUCAUCAGGGGAAAUUCGGGAAGUUCGGUGUAGAAAGAUGAG